GGGUUCAGCACAGUCAGGUUGCUGCUGCAUGCUGCAUGGUUAUACUGGCUGCAGAAAUGCAGCAGCUUGAAGGGGAUACACAUGAAUCAGUUCCUGAGUGGGAGGAGGUAACCCCCUCAAAUCUCUUUGUCAUAGGCUGAUGUCAGAGAAUUAUUUUGUAAUCUGGACAGUUUCUAGGCUGUUUUUAUGGGGAGAAAAUGCUAAGGAUUUGUAUAUAAGCGAGUCAUUUGUAGAUUCAUCCAUUCAUCAAAACAUUUUCUUUGUAAC
Molecule: long non-coding RNA, 267 nt
Filed under: Bos taurus (domestic cattle)
Lineage: Eukaryota; Metazoa; Chordata; Mammalia; Artiodactyla; Bovidae
Description: long non-coding RNA NONBTAT022637
Source: RNAcentral